Molecule: ribosomal RNA, 459 nt
Filed under: uncultured bacterium
Lineage: Bacteria
Description: partial 16S ribosomal RNA
Rfam family: Bacterial small subunit ribosomal RNA
Source: RNAcentral
CCUACGGGGGGCAGCAGUGAGGAAUAUAGGUCAAUGGCCGCAGGGCUGAACCAGCCAAGUCGCGUGAGGGAUGACGGUCCUAUGGAUUGUAAACCUCUUUUGUCAGGGAGCAAAGGGCGCCACGUGUGGCGCUUUGCGAGUACCUGAAGACAAAGCAUCGGCUAAGUCCGUUCCAGCAGCCGCGGUAAUACCGGGGCAGCGAGGGUUAUCCGAAUUUAUUGGGGUAAAGGGGUGCGCAGGCGGAGUGUAAAGUCAGCGGGAAAAUUUCGGGACUAAACCCCGUCGUGCCGUUGAAACUGGCGGUCUUGAGUGAGCGAGAAGUAAGCGGAAUGCGUGGUGUAGCGGUGAAAUGCAUAGAUAUCACGCAGAACUCCGAUUGCGAAGGCAGCAUACCGGCGCUCAACUGACGCUCAUGCACGAAAGCGUGGGUAGCGAACAGGAUUAGAUACCCGGGUAGUC